AUAUCUGGCAUCGCUGUGUCCCAUCUUCGUCUCCUCGUCGCUUACACCCAGGUAGAGUUACAGGCACGCGCCCGAACACGCAGACCGGCGCCCCCGAGUCUCCAGCGGUCUCUAAGUCUCCCGUUGUCUCUCCGUCUGCCUCUUGUCUUACCGCCUUGCAGCCAAACCACCUCCUCUUUGUCCCUCGUGGGCUCCUCACCGCUGGUAUCGCCUCCUGCUCGUGUGUGUUCUUCGUCCCGCUUCUCUACGUGAACGAUCGACUCGAGGGCCUCGCCACCCCCCCCAACCUUUUCGCAUCACCUAUCCGAGAUGGCGUCGCUCAUCCCCACUCUGGCUGAGCAGGACCCGGAGCUGGCGAACAUGAUCGAACUUGAGAUGAGCCGUCAGUUCCGCGGUUUGGAGAUGAUCGCCUCGGAGAACCUGACGUCCAAGGCGGUGCUGGAGUGCCUCGGUUCUGCCCUGACGAACAAGUACGCUGAGGGCGAGCCUGGCAACCGCUACUAUGGCGGUACUGUGUUCGUUGACAUGGUCGAAAACCUCGCCAAGAAGCGUGCCCUGGCCGCCUUCGGCCUCGACCCCGGAGAGUGGGGGGUCAAUGUGCAGCCCUACAGUGGGUCACCGGCAAACUUCGCCGUCUACACUGCGCUGCUGGAGCCGCACAGCCGCAUCAUGGGCCUUGACCUGCCCAGCGGCGGCCACCUCACACAUGGCUUCUACACGCCAAAGAAGAAGGUGAGCGCGACGUCUAUCUACUUUGAGUCCUUUCCAUACCAUGUCAAGGAGGACGGCCUGAUCGACUACGACGCUCUCGAGUCCGUCGCGCUGGUGUUCCGACCUAAGAUGAUCAUCACCGGUGCCUCAGCCUACGCGCGUGACUUCGACUACGAGCGGUUCCGUCACAUCUGCGACGAGGUGGGCAGUCUUCUGUUCAUGGACAUGGCCCACACGGCCGGUUUAAUUGCCGGUGGCGUGCUCAAGUCGCCGUUCGGGUAUGCAGACGUGGUGACGACGACGACUCACAAGUCCCUGCGCGGGCCGCGUGCUGGCAUGAUCUUCUAUCGCAAAAAAGAUCGCCAGGGCAAGCCUACGGACCACGAGAGCCGCAUCAAUCAGGCAGUCUUCCCUGGCUGCCAGGGCGGUCCGCACGAGCACCAAAUCGCCGCUAUCGCCACACAGAUGCGGGAGGUGUGCAGCCCGGAGUGGAAAGCAUACGCCAUGCAAGUGCAGAGCAACGCCCGCGCAUUGGCAGCCGCGCUAAGCUCCAAGGGCCACGUGUUCGUUUCCGGUGGCACGGACAACCACCUGCUGCUGUGGAACGUGCGGGUGCACGGCCUGACCGGUAGCAAGGUGGAGAAGCUACUCGACGCCGUCUCCAUCUCCGUCAACAAGAACACUAUCCCUGGCGACAAGAGUGCCAUGACGCCGGGCGGCAUUCGCGUUGGCACUCUGGCGCUGACCUCUCGCGGCAUGGUGGAAGCAGACAUGAGCACCGUCGCCGAGUUCCUCGACCGCGCCAUUGUGCUGGCCAAGCAAAUCCAGGCAGCGAUGAACGCGAUGAAGCUGAGUGACUUUGUCGCGGCGCUGCAGACGCACGCGGGCGUGGCCGCCCUCCGCAAGGAUGUGGAGGCGUUCGCGACGACCUUUGCGAUGCCCUCCUUUGAUGUGGAGCGUAUCAAGUACAAGGACAGUCUGCCCGAAGAGCGUUGACGGAGCCCUGCAAGAAACUUUAAGAGGGACUGUGAUCUGUAUGCGUGGCUGUAUACGUGUUUAGACUUGUGUUGCAUAUGCGCUGUCUGCCAAGGAAGCGGGAGGAGCGGGCAUAAGAGAGGGGGUGGAACAUGAUAGGAAGAGCUGCGGUGGCUGCAUCGGAAGUGAUGAGUGCGGCUGCAGAACCGCCGGUUUCUGUCGCUCUGCUUCGAAAAGAUGUAUCGUCGCCUCGAAAGUUCCGUCGGUAGCGAGCCACGUGGCGGGGACGUGCCUUUGGCAUCCUCUUGUAGCGCGCGUGUCGACUUCGCAAUCCCCCCAUAGCCCCGGAUACCCCUGCGACGUAGCACGGCCACUUCAACCGGCGUUCCUGCACCACACGCCGGGUGUUCAACAACACGUCUGUGCAGGCCCUUAUCGCCCGCACGUUUUGUUUUCUUGCUUUGAUUCGUUUUUAUUUUUAGCUCUUGAGUUCAGGAGUCAAGCGGCUGGUGAGUCGUUUCAGGCGUACAUGCGCACACCCACGCAUGCAGCGUAUACCCAUGUCUACUGGGUGACGGGCAGCGGCUGAGACAGACUUCUCUUUGGGCAGGGUGAUGCAGUGCGAGGAGGAGGAGAAGCGAAGAGGGCGAAGAUACACGGCGAAGCAAACGAAGUCAGGAACGAGGCGCGCAGGUUAAGAAUCUCUUGUGGUAACACAGUUGAACCAUAACCUGGCUCUUGAUGUGAGUUGUGCAAGCAUAUCUUCUCGCCUCUCUCCCCCUCGAGCCUCCCGCUCUACACCAAACUCCCUCUUGCUCCACUGGUGCGCGUCUCUGCAACCGCAUCCAUGCACCUUCUUCUCUGUUGUGCAUUCACGCACAUAUACGUGCACACCUCUCUCUCUAUAUAUUGUCACCCUCUGUUUUGUCUUUGUCCUUUUCUGUGUGUCUCCGUCUAUCGGCCUGUCGGUCGGUCGGCCGGUCGGUGUGUGUGCGUGUGCCCUGCGCCGCCACCCUCCUUUUUCGUUGUGUGCUGUGCUUUCCUUUGAUCUCCUUCUAUCGUCCGUGUUCUGCGCGGGUUUCUUCGCAACUGUGCGCGGGGGUGGGUGCAGCGGUAAGGCGGAGGGUGACGGCCGGCAGGUUUGAGAGAGAAAAGGCUAUCCUGAAUAGAUGAGGUGGCGCGGAGGUCCACCGGCGCCCUUCUCUCUGCCCUCUUCCUUUUUUCUCCUCAGGUUACAACGGCCGUGCCGCCUGCUCCUACCGCGGUCAACGUCUGCGGAUGUGGAUUUGCCUUUUCACGCAAACAGGCCGAGGGGGAAGACACCCUUCCAUACGCGCGCACCUGUCAGGCGCGUGCGCAGGCCAGCGGUCCUUCUGCCUUUUACGACCACAGCAGACAUGCAGGGCGCAGCUGUCUUUACCGCAAGAAUAUGCAGACACUGGCAAAGUAGAGCGGAGAGCAGGUGCACUUCGUUCUCCUCCUCGGCUCGCUAGUGAUAGUGCGGAAGGCGAGAUGUGUUGCUAUAAACCGAGAGGGUUUUGCGGGUUCGAUGCCCAUGCGCUCCCGAUGCCGCCUUCGAUUGAUUGUUAUUUGAACCUGCCCACUCGCGGCCAUGCAGCGCGCGCUCAGACUCUACUCGGCCUCCCUCCCCCUCCCCCCGCACCGUCACAGGCCCCCAUCGCGUGGUGCGAAGCAGCGAGGGGGGGCACGUGCUCCAGCAGCGCGCCGACUCGGUCACCUGAGCACGGCCCCUGCGUCACCUUCUACGCACCACACGCCUCGCACGUCUCCUCACAGCCGCUCUCCCCACCCCGCCACCCCAUUGUGGCGAUCGCCACGUGGUGCAUCCUCGUCGGGGUGGCCCAGGCGCCCCACCACCAGUGGGCCGUGUGGGGGGCCCGGUGAGAUGCGUUCCCGUCACGCCGGCACUCUGCCCGCCACAUGGAUGGCACAAGCGUGCCCACCGUGACAGGCCGCUCCGACGCGGCGCCAUCCAGGACCUCACCGCCGACAUCGGCAGCGGUGAGUCGCUCUCACCGCACCCUACGCUGUAGGCGCCUCACCCUGCCACCACCAGAAGCGGCGGCUCGGCAUUGGCAGGGGCAAAAAGGGCCGCGGGGGCUGCCUGGCCUGCUCUCGCACAGCGUGGGGAGUGGGCCCUGGAUGCCACGCACCGAGGUGCGCCCCUUCCCCCUCACACUGCAUCGUCAUCGGGUUGCCGACGACGAUGCAGGAAGGGCUGAAGAGCGCGAUAAUGGCGGCGUGCCGUUCUUGCAUGCUGGUUCUCUGCCAUGUCGAACGUAGUCAGUGCAGCGUUAGCGCGUGCCUCCCUUACAUCUCUUGCUCCUCUCGCUUCUCCUCUACCCAACAAAUGUGGGGGCGUGUGCUCGGCUGAUCUGUUAUGCCCUUGCUAGCUGCCAUGCUGCAGUGUGCUUCACCGUUGAUGGUUCUGGUAAUCGCUCAGCUCUGCGUCCCUUUUCUUGCUGUACGUUGACCACCGCUCUCCGCGCGGAG
This 4200-nucleotide unclassified non-coding RNA is filed under the name Leishmania donovani. RNAcentral's name for it is "gene:LdHU3.14.1750(CDS-product:serine_hydroxymeth yltransferase_(SHMT-L))". Lineage: Eukaryota; Euglenozoa; Kinetoplastea; Trypanosomatida; Trypanosomatidae. The record is from RNAcentral.